ACAGAGGUGGCAAGCGUUGUUCGGAAUUAUUGGGCGUAAAGAGCACGUAGGCGGCCCUACAAGUCAGCUGUGAAAUCCUUCUGCUCAACGGAAGAACGGCAGUUGAUACUAUAGGGCUGGAGUGCGGGAGGGGAGAGUGGAACUUCUGGUGGAGCGGUGAAAUGCGUAGAUAUCAGAAGGACCAUCGGCGGCGAAAGCGCCUCUCUGGCCCGUAACUGACGCUCAGGCACGAAAGCGUGGGGAGCAAACAG
RNAcentral lists this ribosomal RNA (251 nucleotides) under uncultured prokaryote. RNAcentral describes it as "partial 16S ribosomal RNA". It matches the Rfam family "Bacterial small subunit ribosomal RNA", at positions 525 to 775 of the family's 1533-position model. The record is from RNAcentral.